GCUGUCGUCAGCUCGUGUUGUGAAAUGUUGGGUUAAGUCCCGCAACGAGCGCAACCCUUAUCCUUUGUUGCCAGCGGUUCGGCCGGGAACUCAAAGGAGACUGCCAGUGAUAAACUGGAGGAAGGUGGGGAUGACGUCAAGUCAUCAUGGCCCUUACGGCCAGGGCUACACACGUGCUACAAUGGCAUAUACAAAGAGAAGCGACCUCGCGAGAGCAAGCGGACCUCAUAAAGUAUGUCGUAGUCCGGAUUGGAGUCUGCAACUCGACUCCAUGAAGUCGGAAUCGCUAGUAAUCGUAGAUCAGAAUGCUACGGUGAAUACGUUCCCGGGCCUUGUACAC
RNAcentral lists this ribosomal RNA (340 nucleotides) under Acinetobacter baumannii. Its description in RNAcentral is "bacterial SSU rRNA". It matches the Rfam family "Bacterial small subunit ribosomal RNA", at positions 1048 to 1388 of the family's 1533-position model. The record is from RNAcentral. Lineage: Bacteria; Pseudomonadati; Pseudomonadota; Gammaproteobacteria; Moraxellales; Moraxellaceae.